CCUUUGUAUAAAUUUAACAAACCGUUUCAAAGUAAAAUAAAUUAACAUAAAUAUGCUGUUGUCUUAAAAAAACAAAAAAAAAAGUGUUGGUAACACACUCUUUCUAUGUAAGAUACACUUUAUUAUUGGUUGAAAUUUAUUAGAAAUUAUAAAAUCAUGAAAAAAAAAUUCUGUUAUUUUAAAAAAAUUUGAAGUUGAAAAUAGUAUAUUCUCAUAUCUCACAAAUAUGUUGUUACUAUUGCAACCAAAAUCAACUUUGACUGUCAAGCUAGAGUAGAGGACGUUAUGGAAUCAAUCAACUAUUGAAAACAAUGUAACUAUGCAGAAAUUAAGUUGGACGUGUUCAUACCCUUGAGUUGCCUCUUUGGUUCCCUUGCAGAAGCAGAACUUGUAACCUAGACACAAGUUCAUUAAUCUCAAUCUCAGUGAACUUUGAAGUUCUUGACGACCUUCUCUGCCCUGACAUGAUGACUAUAUAGAUGUUUUAGCUAUAUAUAUAUAUAUAGCUCUCUUUGUUAAUUUAAUUGCUUUCUUGUGCUCAGUACAUCUGGCCUUUCCUUUCAGUGUGUUGUGGGAAAGUGGCACCAAGGAGGGUCUUUAAAUAGAGGAUGAGGGUGAGAGGUACUGUUUCCCAUCAAGGUUGUUGAAAGCCCAGAUUAAU
Molecule: long non-coding RNA, 661 nt
Filed under: Glycine max (soybean)
Lineage: Eukaryota; Viridiplantae; Streptophyta; Magnoliopsida; Fabales; Fabaceae
Description: long non-coding RNA (GMAX_LNC004171)
Source: RNAcentral